RNAcentral lists this ribosomal RNA (513 nucleotides) under Chelarctus aureus. RNAcentral describes it as "partial 16S ribosomal RNA". It matches the Rfam family "Bacterial large subunit ribosomal RNA", at positions 1829 to 2597 of the family's 2925-position model. Lineage: Eukaryota; Metazoa; Arthropoda; Malacostraca; Decapoda; Scyllaridae. The record is from RNAcentral.
GUCUUUAUGGGUUUUAUAUAAAGUCUAGCCUGCCCAAUGAUGUAAAAUUUAAUGGCCGCGGUAUACUGACCGUGCGAAGGUAGCAUAAUAAUUAGUCUUUUAAUUGAAGGCUGGAAUGAAAGGUUGAACAAAAAGUUGACUGUCUCUGAAUUAAAUCUUGAAUUUAACAUUUAAGUGAGAAGGCUUAAAUAUCUUAGGGGGACGAUAAGACCCUAUAAAUCUUCAUAUUUGAGCUUAUAAAAUAAGAUAUUAGUAUGCUUUUUAUUUGAUGGGUUUAAAUAUUUUGUUGGGGCGACAGGGGUAUAAAAUGUAACUGCUCUAGAGUAAUAGUUAGUCGAUAUCUAGUUAUGUGAUCCUUUAGUAGAGAUGUUAGUUUAAGUUACUUUAGGGAUAACAGCGUAAUUUUUUUUGAGAGUUCGUAUCGAAAAAAAAGUUUGCGACCUCGAUGUUGAAUUAAAGAUCCUUUGCGGCGCAGAAGUUGUAAGAGGAGGUCUGUUCGACCUUUAAAUCUUU